Molecule: non-coding RNA, 90 nt
Organism: Ornithorhynchus anatinus (platypus)
Lineage: Eukaryota; Metazoa; Chordata; Mammalia; Monotremata; Ornithorhynchidae
Source: Rfam
GUCGGCCGUGCCCUAGCAGCACGUAAAUACUGGAGUUUGGGGAUGCCUCGUUGCUCUCCAGUAUUGCAUUGCUGCUUGAGCGAGGCCGGA